UGUAUGGGGGAGGGAGUCCAUCAUUGAGAGAAGUGAGAAGUUCCUGGUUUGUAAGACGAGCAAUAUUAUACGAUCAGACGGUCAAUAUGAAGACAGUAUGUGGCACUGUGGUCUGUUUCAUCUUUCUCACACUGCACGAUGGAAACACUGGUCAGGUCAAAAAAGGAAUUCCCACCUAUAGAGGAAUGGAAGGAGAAAACAUCAGAGUUGAAUGCAAAUUUUCUUACUCUGGAACCAAGAAGUUCUUCUGUAAGGGAAAAUGUGAAAAAGAAAACAUCCUAAUAGCAACAACAAAGAACUCCGCUAAAAAUGGCAGAUACAGCAUUCAGUAUGUAGAAAAAGGUUUUCUGUCAUCUGAUAUUCUGUAUGUGAGCAUCGCACAGCUGAAAAAGUCUGACAUGGGACCAUACAUGUGUUUUUCGAGUAAAACCUGGCUUGGUGAUCUGAGUCAUGAGUUUUAUAUUUUUGUCACAGAAGGCUCAAGAACAAAAACAGAAACAGCAACAACAACAACAAUACCAACAACAGAGAGUUCAGUCUUCAGUUCAGAAUGUGCUGGAGUUUCAUCAGUGUCCCCUGAAACCUCAAAACAGCCCGAGAGAUCGCCUGCAAGUUCAGAUUGACUUGUUACGGUUCGGGUACCAGGUACUAAAAUAGUACCUGCUCGGCCGGGUUUCCAAGAGAUCCGAACUUGGCAUCACUCGAUGAGUCAUGAUAGUCGCCUUGUUCACAAAAAUCAAAACCACCAUUUUUGAAACCCGAC
Long non-coding RNA from Oreochromis aureus, 763 nucleotides. NCBI's taxonomy places the organism in Eukaryota, Metazoa, Chordata, Actinopteri, Cichliformes, Cichlidae. The record is from Ensembl.